UGCUAGGAAAUGAAGUGUCUGAUUUCAUUAGAUGAAGACAGUUACAUGAUUAGAUCAACUCAACUUGAGAUUGAUACCUAGGUACUGUAGUAUGACUGUUUACUUUCAGCCAUUGAGGUUCACUCAUGAUAACAGGCUGCCAAUCAUAUUUUAGACUUUGUUUUUAUACUCUGGUAGUUGUAUGGGACCUGUUUGAUAUGCUGGUGUAACACAUUGGUUGAUGGAUACUUGCUUCCAUGUGCCUACUGCUUUUAUGAGACUGGUGGAAAAGAUUGACGUAUAGCUUUUCAACCAUGGCAAAUUGGAGGGGAGAGAUUAUGGAAGUCAUUGGAA
RNAcentral lists this unclassified non-coding RNA (333 nucleotides) under Hevea brasiliensis (rubber tree). Lineage: Eukaryota; Viridiplantae; Streptophyta; Magnoliopsida; Malpighiales; Euphorbiaceae. The record is from RNAcentral.